This is a non-coding RNA of Empidonax traillii (willow flycatcher), 73 nucleotides long. The record is from the annotation of a RefSeq genome assembly. Lineage: Eukaryota; Metazoa; Chordata; Aves; Passeriformes; Tyrannidae.
CCCCUGAUGGUCUAGUGGUUAAGGACGCGGUGCCAUCACCACCGAGGCCCGGGUUCGAUUCCUGGUCAGGGCC